Molecule: ribosomal RNA, 253 nt
Filed under: uncultured bacterium
Lineage: Bacteria
Description: partial 16S ribosomal RNA
Rfam family: Bacterial small subunit ribosomal RNA
Source: RNAcentral
GACAGAGGGUGCAAACGUUGUUCGGAAUUACUGGGCGUAAAGCGCGUGUAGGCGGCCGGGAAAGUCGGAUGUGAAAGCCCGUGGCUCAACCACGGAAGCGCACCCGAAACUGCCCAGCUAGAGUCUCGGAGAGGAAGGCGGAAUGCUCGGUGUAGAGGUGAAAUUCGUAGAUAUCGAGCGGAACACCAGUGGCGAAGGCGGCCUUCUGGACGAAGACUGACGCUGAGACGCGAAAGCGUGGGGAGCAAACAGG